ACAAGCAGAGGGGGCUUAGUGGUGGGGUGACUGCGUACCUUUUGUAUAAUGGGUCAGCGACUUAUAUUCUGUAGCAAGGUUAACCGAAUAGGGGAGCCGGAGGGAAACCGAGUCUUAAUUGGGCGUUAAGUUGCAGGGUAUAGACCCGAAACCCGGUGAUCUAGCCAUGGGCAGGUUGAAGGUUGGGUAACACUAACUGGAGGACCGAACCGACUAAUGUUGAAAAAUUAGCGGAUGACCUGUGGCUGGGGGUGAAAGGCCAAUCAAACCGGGAGAUAGCUGGUUCUCCCCGAAAGCUAUUUAGGUAGCGCCUCGUGAAUUCAUCUCCGGGGGUAGAGCACUGUUUCGGCUAGGGGGCCAUCCCGGCUUACCAACCCGAUGCAAACUGCGAAUACCGGAGAAUGUUAUCACGGGAGACACACGGCGGGUGCUAACGUCCGUCGUGAAGAGGGAAACAACCCAGACCGCCAGCUAAGGUCCCAAAGUCAUGGUUAAGUGGGAAACGAUGUGGGAAGGCCCAGACAGCCAGGAUGUUGGCUUAGAAGCAGCCAUCAUUUAAAGAAAGCGUAAUAGCUCACUGGUCGAGUCGGCCUGCGCGGAAGAUGUAACGGGGCUAAACCAUGCACCGAAGCUGCGGCAGCGAACGUAUCACCCAAGACAACUUUACGGAGUUGACGAUUGACGGAGCGAAGCGACGUCAAAGCGUUCAUUAAAGUCGAGUUGGCUUAGGGAUACGUUCGUUGGGUAGGGGAGCGUUCUGUAAGCCUGUGAAGGUGUGUCGUGAGGCAUGCUGGAGGUAUCAGAAGUGCGAAUGCUGACAUAAGUAACGAUAAAGCGGGUGAAAAGCCCGCUCGCCGGAAGACCAAGGGUUCCUGUCCAACGUUAAUCGGGGCAGGGUGAGUCGACCCCUAAGGCGAGGCCGAAAGGCGUAGUCGAUGGGAAACGGGUUAAUAUUCCCGUACUUGGUGUUACUGCGAAGGGGGGACGGAGAAGGCUAUGUUGGCCGGGCGACGGUUGUCCCGGUUUAAGCGUGUAGGUGUGUGUUCCAGGUAAAUCCGGUUCACUUUAACACUGAGGCGUGACGACGAGGCACUACGGUGCUGAAGCAACAAAUGCCCUGCUUCCAGGAAAAGCCUCUAAGCAUCAGGUAACACGAAAUCGUACCCCAAACCGACACAGGUGGUCAGGUAGAGAAUACCAAGGCGCUUGAGAGAACUCGGGUGAAGGAACUAGGCAAAAUGGUGCCGUAACUUCGGGAGAAGGCACGCUGACACGUAGGUGAAGUGAUUUACUCAUGGAGCUGAAGUCAGUCGAAGAUACCAGCUGGCUGCAACUGUUUAUUAAAAACACAGCACUGUGCAAACACGAAAGUGGACGUAUACGGUGUGACGCCUGCCCGGUGCCGGAA
RNAcentral lists this ribosomal RNA (1408 nucleotides) under Salmonella enterica subsp. enterica serovar Typhimurium. Its description in RNAcentral is "partial 23S ribosomal RNA". It matches the Rfam family "Bacterial large subunit ribosomal RNA", at positions 566 to 1874 of the family's 2925-position model. Lineage: Bacteria; Pseudomonadati; Pseudomonadota; Gammaproteobacteria; Enterobacterales; Enterobacteriaceae. The record is from RNAcentral.